Molecule: ribosomal RNA, 1420 nt
Filed under: metagenome
Description: bacterial SSU rRNA
Rfam family: Bacterial small subunit ribosomal RNA
Source: RNAcentral
CGAACGGUAACAUGGAAGCAAUUCUGAUGACGAGUGGCGCACGGGUGCGUAACGCGUAUGCAAUCUACCCAUAACUGGAGGAUAGCCCCGGGAAAUCGGGAUUAAUACUUCAUAAGAUAUUAAUGUGACAUCACAUAGAUGCGUAAGAUUUAUCGGUUAUGGAUGAGCAUGCGUAACAUUAGUUAGUUGGUGAGGUAACGGCUCACCAAGACUGUGAUGUUUAGGGGUUCUGAGAGGAACAUCCCCCACACUGGUACUGAGACACGGACCAGACUCCUACGGGAGGCAGCAGUAAGGAAUAUUGGUCAAUGGGCGGAAGCCUGAACCAGCCAUGCCUGCAGGAAGACGGCCCUAUGGGUUGUAAACUGCUUUUAUACUAGAAAAACCCCUUCUAUGCGUAGGAGGCUGAUUGUAUAGUAUGAAUAAGGAUCGGCUAACUCCGUGCCAGCAGCCGCGGUAAUACGGAGGAUCCAAGCGUUAUCCGGAUUUAUUGGGUUUAAAGGGUGCGUAGGCGGGUGUAUAAGUCAGUGGUGAAAUUUUUCGGCUCAACCGGAGGACUGCCAUUGGUACUGUAUGCCUUGAGUACAGACGAGGUUGGCGGAAUGUGUAGUGUAGCGGUGAAAUGCUUAGAUAUUACACAGAACACCGAUAGCGAAGGCAGCUGACCAGAAUGUAACUGACGCUGAGGCACGAAAGCGUGGGGAUCAAACAGGAUUAGAUACCCUGGUAGUCCACGCCGUAAACGAUGAUUACUAGAUGUAUGCGAUACACAGUAUGCGUCUGAGCGAAAGCAUUAAGUAAUCCACCUGGGGAGUACGACCGCAAGGUUGAAACUCAAAGGAAUUGACGGGGGCCCGCACAAGCGGAGGAGCAUGUGGUUUAAUUCGAUGAUACGCGAGGAACCUUACCUGGACUUGAAUGUCUUUUGACCGUGGGGGAAACCCUGCUUCCAGCGAUGGCAAUUGACAAGGUGCUGCAUGGUUGUCGUCAGCUCGUGCCGUGAGGUGUUGGGUUAAGUCCCGUAACGAGCGCAACCCCUAUCAUUAGUUACCAGCGUAAAGUCGGGGACUCUAGUGAAACUGCCCGCGCAAGCGGAGAGGAAGGUGGGGAUGACGUCAAAUCAGCACGGCCCUUACGUCCAGGGCUACACACGUGCUACAAUGGCCAGAACAGAGGGUCGCAACCUGGUGACAGGAUGCUAAUCUCCAAAACUGGUCUCAGUUCGGAUUGAAGUCUGCAACUCGACUUCAUGAAGUUGGAUUCGCUAGUAAUCGCAUAUCAGCAAUGAUGCGGUGAAUACGUUCCCGGGCCUUGUACACACCGCCCGUCAAGCCAUGGGAGUUGGGGGUACCUAAAGUCGAUAACCGCAAGGAGUCGCCUAGGGUAAAACCAAUGACUGGGGCUAAGUCGUAACAAGGUA